Molecule: long non-coding RNA, 249 nt
Organism: Ornithodoros turicata
Lineage: Eukaryota; Metazoa; Arthropoda; Arachnida; Ixodida; Argasidae
Exons: 3
Source: RefSeq, a predicted model, not a curated record
CGGGUCCUUCAACACCUGCCGAGAGACGGUUUCCAUCUACCCCUCCGGCUUCUUCUACACGCGAGGAAGGCAUAGGACCGCUGGAUGCUACCGCGGGUCCUUCAACACCUGCCGAGAGACGGUUUCCAUCUACCCCUCCGGCUUCUUCUACACGUGAGGAAGGCAUAGGACCGCUGGAUGCUACCGCGGGUCCUUCAACACCUGCCGAGAGACGGUUUCCAUCUACCCCUCCGGCUUCUUCUACACGUG